This is a long non-coding RNA of Asparagus officinalis (garden asparagus), 1244 nucleotides long. RefSeq lists it as uncharacterized. The transcript has 3 exons. NCBI's taxonomy places the organism in Eukaryota, Viridiplantae, Streptophyta, Magnoliopsida, Asparagales, Asparagaceae. The record is from RefSeq and is a predicted model, not a curated record.
AUUAUCCCCUUCGUUAUCCGCCCUCUCCCCUUCCCCUCUCCCUCUCUCUUUGAUAACGGCCAAAAUCGAACCGAUCUCUCGCCUUCCCCUCUCCCUCUUUCUUUGAUAACGCCCAAAUCCCUUUAUUACCUUCGUUAUCGGUGCUUUCCCCUGCCCCUCUCCCUCUCUCCGUCUCUAAAUUAAAUUGAACUCCUCACUUCAGUUUCCGUCUCCUCACCUACUCUCCCCAUCCGUUUUAUGUUUCUAUAAAUACCUUCUGAUUCAAUUUUGAUGGAACAAAUAAGGUGUCUGAUAUUGAUUGGAGGAGUAGAAAGCUAUCAAAGAUGUUGAAACGCACAGCACGCAAAUUAGUUCCCAAACCAUAUGAGUUUAAAACUUUUACUAAUACUAAGGCCAAAAAAAUUAUUGAAAUUUCAUCAAGUGACGAUGAAGACGAUCAGAAAAAGAUGUUAAAUGAGGGUCACUCAACAAACAAGCAUGCAAUUGGUACUUCAGCUCGACUAUAUGAUGAUGAAGAAGAACCAUCGAUUGAGGAGUAUUAUGAUGAUGAUGAGGAGGAAAGCUCUUAUGAAGUUAACAAAAAAAAUGAAGGUUGAGGAUUCAGAUCCUGAUUAUGUCCCUAGCAAAAAUACUCAUACUACUGCUAAAGUUAAUGUUUCUAUUGCUGCUAAGAUCAAGGAUGAAGAAGAAGCGGAUAAAAUGUUUACUGAAGCUAUGGGCAUUCUAGAAGCAAUCUGAAAAAUUCGUCAAGAAAAAAAAAAGUUGAGAUGAGUCUUAGAAAAAUAAUUAUCAAGUCAAUAAAAUAAAUUUAGGUCUGAUUUGUCAAUCGUAGUAUUGGAAAAGUUUAUAAGUUUUUGUUAUUUUUAUUAGCUUUAAUUAUGCAACAAAAAGCCUAUGUUUGCCUCUUUAUCUUUCUUUAACAUCGACCUUAUGAAGGAUAUGAUUUUGGGUGUUAAAUACUUGUGUUCUAUUUUGUCUGCUGCAUCACUGAUAUUUCAAUUUUAUUCAUUUAUGAUUUAUGAUUAUGAUUAAUGAUUUAUAAUUAUGAUAAAAUAUGUUUUUUAUAUUUUUUUAGCUCACCUUCAGAACUUCACAAAUUUUUGGCCGAUAUAUAUCAGGGCACAUAUAUCAAGUGCUUCCAACACAUGUGCAUGUUAUGUGAUUGUUAUAAAGAUGUGUAUUAUGCAUGGGAAAUAUCAGCUGCCAUGUUAUGUAUAAAUUAUAAGGUACAUUGGGAUAAGUAC